Molecule: ribosomal RNA, 468 nt
Filed under: uncultured bacterium
Lineage: Bacteria
Description: bacterial SSU rRNA
Rfam family: Bacterial small subunit ribosomal RNA
Source: RNAcentral
GACACGCUGGCGGCGUGCCUAACACAUGCAAGUCGAGCGGAGAUAGACUGAUGGUAACUGAAGUUUGUCUUAGCGGCGGACGGGUGAGUAACACGUGGGCAACCUGCCUUGGAGUGGGGGAUAACACCGGGAAAUCGGUGCUAAUACCGCAUAACAUACACAAGCUGCAUGGUAAGUGUAUCAAAGGAGUAAUCCGCUUUAAGAUGGGCCCGCGGCUGAUUAGCUAGUUGGUAAGGUAACGGCUUACCAAGGCGACGAUCAGUAGCCGACCUGAGAGGGUGACCGGCCACACUGGAACUGAGACACGGUCCAGACUCCUACGGGAGGCAGCAGUGGGGAAUAUUGCGCAAUGGGGGGAACCCUGACGCAGCAACGCCGCGUGGAGGAAGAAGGUCUUCGGAUUGUAAACUCCUGUCUUCUGGGAAGAUAAUGACGGUACCAGAGGAGGAAGCCACGGCUAACUACGUG